CCCAAGGGAUGCCCUAGUAACGGCGAGUGAAGCGGCAACAGCUCAAAUUUGAAAGCUAGCCUUCGGGUUCGCAUUGUAAUUUGUAGAGGAUGAUUUGGGGAAGCCGCCUGUCUAAGUUCCUUGGAACAGGACGUCAUAGAGGGUGAGAAUCCCGUAUGUGACAGGAAAUGGCACCCUAUGUAAAUCUCCUUCGACGAGUCGAGUUGUUUGGGAAUGCAGCUCUAAAUGGGAGGUAAAUUUCUUCUAAAGCUAAAUAUUGGCGAGAGACCGAUAGCGCACAAGUAGAGUGAUCGAAAGAUGAAAAGCACUUUGGAAAGAGAGUUAAAAAGCACGUGAAAUUGUUGAAAGGGAAGCGCUUGCAAUCAGACUUGUUUAAACUGUUCGGCCGGUCUUCUGACCGGUUUACUCAGUUUGGACAGGCCAGCAUCAGUUUCGGCGGCCGGAUAAAGGCUCUGGGAAUGUGGCCUCCACUUCGGUGGAGGUGUUAUAGCCCAGGGUGUAAUACGGCCAGCCGGGACUGAGGUCCGCGCUUCGGCUAGGAUGCUGGCGUAAUGGUUGUAAGCGACCCGUCUUGAACCCCGGGACCAA
RNAcentral lists this ribosomal RNA (588 nucleotides) under Aureobasidium pullulans. RNAcentral's name for it is "partial large subunit ribosomal RNA". It matches the Rfam family "Eukaryotic large subunit ribosomal RNA", at positions 67 to 664 of the family's 3401-position model. The record is from RNAcentral. Lineage: Eukaryota; Fungi; Ascomycota; Dothideomycetes; Dothideales; Saccotheciaceae.